Molecule: non-coding RNA, 31 nt
Filed under: Mus musculus (house mouse)
Lineage: Eukaryota; Metazoa; Chordata; Mammalia; Rodentia; Muridae
Source: RNAcentral
UACAUUAGGGAACACUUCUGAGCCUCGCAGC